RNAcentral lists this ribosomal RNA (869 nucleotides) under Shigella flexneri. Its description in RNAcentral is "bacterial SSU rRNA". It matches the Rfam family "Bacterial small subunit ribosomal RNA", at positions 676 to 1533 of the family's 1533-position model. Lineage: Bacteria; Pseudomonadati; Pseudomonadota; Gammaproteobacteria; Enterobacterales; Enterobacteriaceae. The record is from RNAcentral.
UAGCGGUGAAAUGCGUAGAGAUCUGGAGGAAUACCGGUGGCGAAGGCGGCCCCCUGGACGAAGACUGACGCUCAGGUGCGAAAGCGUGGGGAGCAAACAGGAUUAGAUACCCUGGUAGUCCACGCCGUAAACGAUGUCGACUUGGAGGUUGUGCCCUUGAGGCGUGGCUUCCGGAGCUAACGCGUUAAGUCGACCGCCUGGGGAGUACGGCCGCAAGGUUAAAACUCAAAUGAAUUGACGGGGGCCCGCACAAGCGGUGGAGCAUGUGGUUUAAUUCGAUGCAACGCGAAGAACCUUACCUGGUCUUGACAUCCACGGAAGUUUUCAGAGAUGAGAAUGUGCCUUCGGGAACCGUGAGACAGGUGCUGCAUGGCUGUCGUCAGCUCGUGUUGUGAAAUGUUGGGUUAAGUCCCGCAACGAGCGCAACCCUUAUCCUUUGUUGCCAGCGGUCCGGCCGGGAACUCAAAGGAGACUGCCAGUGAUAAACUGGAGGAAGGUGGGGAUGACGUCAAGUCAUCAUGGCCCUUACGACCAGGGCUACACACGUGCUACAAUGGCGCAUACAAAGAGAAGCGACCUCGCGAGAGCAAGCGGACCUCAUAAAGUGCGUCGUAGUCCGGAUUGGAGUCUGCAACUCGACUCCAUGAAGUCGGAAUCGCUAGUAAUCGUGGAUCAGAAUGCCACGGUGAAUACGUUCCCGGGCCUUGUACACACCGCCCGUCACACCAUGGGAGUGGGUUGCAAAAGAAGUAGGUAGCUUAACCUUCGGGAGGGCGCUUACCACUUUGUGAUUCAUGACUGGGGUGAAGUCGUAACAAGGUAACCGUAGGGGAACCUGCGGUUGGAUCACCUCCUUACCUUAAAGAAGC